This 435-nucleotide non-coding RNA is filed under the name Ipomoea nil (Japanese morning glory). RNAcentral's name for it is "Eukaryotic large subunit ribosomal RNA". It matches the Rfam family "Eukaryotic large subunit ribosomal RNA", at positions 2943 to 3401 of the family's 3401-position model. Lineage: Eukaryota; Viridiplantae; Streptophyta; Magnoliopsida; Solanales; Convolvulaceae. The record is from Rfam by way of RNAcentral.
AUAGGGAACGUGAGCUGGGUUUAGACGCGUCGAGACAGGUUAGUUUUACCUACUGAUGACAGUGUCGAAUAGUAAUUCAACUAGUACGAGAGGAACGUUGAUUCGCAAUUGGUCAUCGCGCUUGUUGAAAAGCCAGUGGCGCGAAGCUACCGUGCGUUGGAUUAUGACUGAACGCUCUAAGUCAGAAUCCGGGCUAGACGACGCAUGCGCUCGUCGCCCGUUGCCGACCCGCAGUAGGGCCAUUUGGCCAAGGGCACGUGUCGUUGCUAAGCGUCGUGGCGGAAGGGUCACGGUGGCCGCCUUGAAUUACAAUUCCGAUCGAGCGGCGAGCUGAAUCUUUGGCAGACGAUUAAAUACGCGACGGGGUAUUGUAAGGGGUAGAGUGGCCUUGCUGCACGAUCCUCUGAGAUUCAGCCUUUGUCGCUGCCGAUUCGU